GACGAACGCUGGCGGCGUGCUUAACACAUGCAAGUCGAACGGAAAGGCCCUGCUUUUGUGGGGUGCUCGAGUGGCGAACGGGUGAGUAACACGUGAGUAACCUGCCCUUGACUUUGGGAUAACUUCAGGAAACUGGGGCUAAUACCGGAUAGGAGCUCCUGCUGCAUGGUGGGGGUUGGAAAGUUUCGGCGGUUGGGGAUGGACUCGCGGCUUAUCAGCUUGUUGGUGGGGUAGUGGCUUACCAAGGCUUUGACGGGUAGCGGGCCUGAGAGGGUGACCGGCCACAUUGGGACUGAGAUACGGCCCAGACUCCUACGGGAGGCAGCAGUGGGGAAUAUUGCACAAUGGGCGGAAGCCUGAUGCAGCAACGCCGCGUGCGGGAGGACGGCCUUCGGGUUGUAAACCGCUUUCGCCUGUGACGAAGCGUGAGUGACGGUAAUGGGUAAAGAAGCACCGGCUAACUACGUG
Molecule: ribosomal RNA, 468 nt
Filed under: uncultured bacterium
Lineage: Bacteria
Description: partial 16S ribosomal RNA
Rfam family: Bacterial small subunit ribosomal RNA
Source: RNAcentral